Molecule: non-coding RNA, 301 nt
Organism: Vicia faba (fava bean)
Lineage: Eukaryota; Viridiplantae; Streptophyta; Magnoliopsida; Fabales; Fabaceae
Source: the annotation of a GenBank genome assembly
AUGCAAAAACCCCUGAAAUCGAACAAUGAAGAAACAAAACAACGAAACCCAAAAACUGAUCGGUUUUAUAUUAUCCCUUGCGAAAAACUCGGAGAAAACGAAAAGGCGGAAGAAUUCACCGUCGGUUUCGAUCUCCGAAGCGAUUAUCGGAAAACGCAGAAUGAGAAAACUGUGAAAUUUGAAUUUGUGAAAUUUUGCAGAGAAAGAAUGAAUUUGAAUUUGUUGAGAGAAGAACAAAACAAAGAAAAAGAAGCAGAAGAAGCUUCUGUUGUGGUCUGUGUGUGCCUAAACCUAAUGCAAA